GACGAACGCUGGCGGCGUGCUUAACACAUGCAAGUCGAACGGUGAAGCGCCUUCCUUUUUGGUGGGUGUGGAUGAGUGGCGAACGGGUGAGUAACACGAGAGUAACCUGCCCCCUUCUUCUGGAUAACCGCAUGAAAGUGUGGCUAAUACGGGAUAUUCUGGGUCUGUCGCAUGAUGGGUCUGGGAAAGAUAUUGUUUCGGUGGGGGAUGGGCUCGCGGCCUAUCAGCUUGUUGGUGGGGUGAUGGCCUACCAAGGCGGUGACGGGUAGCCGGCCUGAGAGGGUGGACGGUCACACUGGGACUGAGACACGGCCCAGACUCCUACGGGAGGCAGCAGUGGGGAAUAUUGCACAAUGGGCGCAAGCCUGAUGCAGCGACGCCGCGUGAGGGAUGGAGGCCUUCGGGUUGUGAACCUCUUUCGCCAGUGAAGCAGGCCUGCCUCGUUUGUGGGUGGGUUGACGGUAGCUGGAUAAGAAGCGCCGGCUAACUACGUG
Molecule: ribosomal RNA, 494 nt
Filed under: uncultured bacterium
Lineage: Bacteria
Description: partial 16S ribosomal RNA
Rfam family: Bacterial small subunit ribosomal RNA
Source: RNAcentral